This 357-nucleotide unclassified non-coding RNA is filed under the name soil metagenome. RNAcentral's name for it is "partial contains 5.8S ribosomal RNA, internal transcribed spacer 2, and large subunit ribosomal RNA". The stretch from base 3 to 119 matches the Rfam family "5.8S ribosomal RNA", at positions 38 to 154 of the family's 154-position model. The record is from RNAcentral.
GAGAAGAACGUAGUGAAAUGCGAUAAGUAAUGUGAAUUGCAGAAUUCAGUGAAUCAUCGAAUCUUUGAACGCACAUUGCGCCCGUCAGUAUUCUGGCGGGCAUGCCUGUUCGAGCGUCAUUACGCCCCUCAAGUCCCCUGUGGACUUGGUGUUGGGGAUCGGCGAGGCUGGUUUUCCAGCACAGCCGUCCCUUAAAUUAAUUGGCGGUCUCGCCGUGGCCCUCCUCUGCGCAGUAGUAAAACACUCGCAACAGGAGCCCGGCGCGGUCCACUGCCGUAAAACCCCCCAACUUUUUAUAGUUGACCUCGAAUCAGGUAGGACUACCCGCUGAACUUAAGUAUAUCAAUAAGCGGAGGA